RNAcentral lists this long non-coding RNA (204 nucleotides) under Brassica napus (rape). Its description in RNAcentral is "long non-coding RNA (BNAP_LNC007330)". The record is from RNAcentral. Lineage: Eukaryota; Viridiplantae; Streptophyta; Magnoliopsida; Brassicales; Brassicaceae.
AUGAUAAAUAAUGGAGGGGGCAUAUGAAUCAUGAUGAACGAAUGUGAAAUUUGAGGGAAUCGAAGUUUUGAAAUUGAAUUUGCAUGCUCUUCUUUAAAUCUUUAUUUUCUAACCAUAAAAACAAACCCACAACUUUUCUUUAAUGUGACCACCCCCACACCUUUUAUGAAAAUAAAUUAGAAUAUGUAUAUGGUAUUUGUAACA